Long non-coding RNA from Pezoporus occidentalis (night parrot), 3026 nucleotides. RefSeq lists it as uncharacterized. The transcript is spliced from 2 exons. Lineage: Eukaryota; Metazoa; Chordata; Aves; Psittaciformes; Psittacidae. The record is from RefSeq and is a predicted model, not a curated record.
UCAAGAAAAAAUUGACCAUAGUGGUAAUGUUUUAUAUUUGUCCUCUGUGGACUGGAAUGAAAUUAUCAAACCACUUAAUAUUCAGACACUUGGUAACUAUCAAAUAAUUCUUUCAGUUACUGCCUAUUUCACAUUCACUGUCCUGGUUUGGGCACAGCCUUUAUCCUUGCAGAUUUUUCAGUGAAUUUCAAAGAUGAAGAGUGUUCAGCUCUAUAAUCUCUCCCCUUCAUUACAGAAAACUCUUAGAAAUUUCCCUACUUGUUCCGUUCAGCCUCUCUCAGAGGUGAUCUGAGGUGUGAAGGAUCACUGCUAGGAAUAAAAGGACAUUCUCAGCACUCAUUAAAUAUUUCUGGUCCUUUUGCUGUGAUUCCCAGGCAUGGUCAUGUACAUACCAAUCUUUUAGACUGAAGAUGGUGGCAGGCUUCCAGUGGAAAUAGUGCCAAAGGAAGAACAGCAGCCCAGAGGAGACUUCACACUUUACAGCAACAUUUAAAGCAUUCUGAAUCUGAUUAGGGGAUAUGGCUGAAAGUCACAUCGCUGCCUGGUCCUACGUGGCAUUUUUAAAAAGCUGUCAGAGCAAAAAAUGUAAUACUGGAACUAAAGCCCCUAAGCAAUUCCAGCUGCAGUGCAGUACUCCGACGUCGUGUCAGUCAGCAAGCAAACACCUACUGCAACGGCUGGAUUCACAAGUGCCAUAAGCCACCUUUGGAUCAAAAGUGCCAUUCAAUUUUUCUCACUUUAAAUCUCUUUCAUAAAUUCCUCUAGAUUUACUUUGAGAUCAGAAUUUGACUUACAGGCAUUAUCUCUGACAAACGAAGGGGAAAGGGUGAAUGUGCAGCACUGUGGCAUCAGGAGAAAAAAAAAAGGAGAUUGCAGGUGUCCUGCUUUUUUCAGAUGUAAUAGAAGUAGCGAAUGAAUAAACCAACCUUCUGUCAGAAAAAAGCAUACAAAGGUAAUGAGUCCUUAAGAAGAAUGCCUUCUCUGUGUAUAAUAUAAAGCGUAUUUCACUGCUCACAGCUAUAUAUGCACACAUACCCACACAGAGACAUGGGUACAUAAAUAUUCAAAACAGCUGCAAAUUUGACUUAAAAGGUAGUCCAUAUCAGCUCACUACGUUUUCAUUAUGAAAUACUCUGAUGUAAGAGAUCUUCAUGAAAAACCUUUCAAGUCCCCUUUUCCUAGUUUCCAUAUUACUCUAGGUAAGGAAGAGAAUGAUGGAUUUAGUAAAGGUGCAGCACUCAGGAGUGCUGGUAAGAGAUCUCACUUUUCUUUUUUGGCUUGGAAUCACUAGCUUUGUCUCAGUUUGGCAAAAGAUUAUAUCCUUCAUGACAUAAUCCAUGUCAGUAUCCUCUGUUUCCAGCCCCAGUGUUACACUUCCAUUUGUCCUUUUAUUUUUUUUCUCCUUUUAAUUAAAUGAAUAUAAAAUAUAGCAUCUAACAAUAAAAAUGAAUAAAAAAAAGCACAGGGAUCAGAUCCAGUUAACAGAACCCAUCACUGUGGGUUCAGAAUCAAGGCCGGGCAAGGAAACCUGUCCCCUGAGGAGAAGAUAAUUUCCCUGCCAUCACGUUAAGGUUAUUGCAAUGCCAGCAUCCCUAAAUAGCCAUGCGCUGCGUCUUACCACCCCUUUGUCUCUCUCCCCAUCUUUUUGGUUGGAUUUGUAUUGCUGCCAAGUGCAGGACUGGACUGUGCAGAGACUCAAUAUUUGGUAGAAGUCCUUUAGAGAGCUUAUUUUUCAAAAUAAAUAUAUAGAUGUGAAAUGGUAAUAAAGUUCUUUUAAUUAACACGGACCGUACCCUCAGGCUUUGCCUGUAGGUUCAGAGCACUGUCUGUAGUGAGCCCAUUGCACUGACAGGUGGUCUGGGGCUGGGAGAAGCAGAAAUCUCCCAGAGGAACCUGUCAGUCGACAUGGAUCGGUGUUGAUUCCUCCUGUUAGGUAAUUGCUCAAGUAGAAGAGUCUCCAAAUUGUUCAGAAUUCAAGAAGAACAGAUCAAAUAAAAGCCUCUGCUCCUGCAGUGCUGCUAUUUUUAAGAUGAUUUAAACCUUAAAAAAAAAAAGAAGGGUGCUGUGAAAAAGAGUAUUGCAAUUAUCAAGAUGAUCACCGUCACUGGAAGUUCAACACUGAGGUCAGACACUUCUUCACAAAGCAGCUGCACUGCAUGGUCUGACUGCUGCUGUCUCGCCUGCAAAUGAUGGGGAGGCUGCACAGCCAAUGCUGCAAAAGCACACACACUACUGGUGCCAAAGCUCUGCUCGCAAGCUAAACUGCUGCUCUCUGCCUGCUAAAAAGGAAAAGGAAAUGUAGUUACACAAAAAGGAGUUUGAGAAAUGACAAAUUUUGCUACUUAUUUCUGCACUGGAGUUACCAUCAUCUGUAGCCAUUACGUGCAUUUGACUAACCCCCAGAAUGCUCUCUUGCAGCCUUACAAAGAAAUCUUCAAAGAAACCCUGGGAUCAAGGCAGUGUAAGCACAAGCUUUAAGUCAGCUUUGUGUGACAGCUUCUGAUUUAUGCUUUCAAACAUACCAACAGAUCUCUGCCUCGGUUGUUAGUUACAGCUUGCAAAAUAUAUAAGGACAUGCAAUGCCUUAAUAUACCUCUACCAGAAGAAUAAAAUCUUUAUAAUACUCUAUUAAAUUAGAUGGUUUGGAGAAGAAUUACAUUUUCCUGAAGACUGGAUUUAUGAAAAGGCUAUCUAGAAGCUUCUGUUUUUAAUUAAUUGCAAACUCUGUAGCAUUCUAGACAGCUUUAAUGUCCAAAUUUGUUCUCACUAGGUCUAUUUAAUUACUACUAUUUUCAUAUAACCAUUGAUACAUACUGCUAAGAAUGAAGUGUUACAUGUCUUUUUUAUGAUACCAGGGGAACAUACAGUAAAGGCUUUACCAUUUCCCUUAUCCUUGGGGAAGUACUUAAGCAGAUAAACUAAUUAAUAAUGUGAGUUGCUAGCUUUGUAUAGCAACAACAGAAUAUUUGUUAGCUGCACAUGUAAGAAGACUUCAAAUAAAUUCAGUAAUUCUAUCUGUAGUUCAA